UACGGAGGGGGCGAGCGUUAUUCGGAAUUAUUGGGCGUAACGGGCGCGUAGGCGGCUGUACAAGUCAAAGGUGAAAUCCCUCGGCUCAACUGAGGAACUGCCUUUGAAACUGUACGGCUUGAGGCCGGGAGGGGGUAGCGGAAUUCCCAGUGUAGCGGUGAAAUGCGUAGAUACUGGGAGGAACACCAGUGGCGAAGGCGGCUACCUGGACCGGUUCUGACGCUGAGGCGCGAAAGCGUGGGUAGCAAACAGG
Molecule: ribosomal RNA, 253 nt
Filed under: uncultured bacterium
Lineage: Bacteria
Description: partial 16S ribosomal RNA
Rfam family: Bacterial small subunit ribosomal RNA
Source: RNAcentral